This 30-nucleotide non-coding RNA is filed under the name Mus musculus (house mouse). The record is from RNAcentral. Lineage: Eukaryota; Metazoa; Chordata; Mammalia; Rodentia; Muridae.
UGCUAAUGAAUCUUUUCCAAAUGACCCAGA